RNAcentral lists this non-coding RNA (30 nucleotides) under Homo sapiens (human). Lineage: Eukaryota; Metazoa; Chordata; Mammalia; Primates; Hominidae. The record is from RNAcentral.
GUCACAACAGAGCGGCCAGAACACGGUGGU